Oncorhynchus tshawytscha (Chinook salmon) is the source of this 2508-nucleotide long non-coding RNA. Lineage: Eukaryota; Metazoa; Chordata; Actinopteri; Salmoniformes; Salmonidae. The record is from Ensembl.
UACUAACCACCUCUACUCUCAUCUACCAUAGAACGUUCCUACUAACCACCUCUACUCCCAUCUACCAUAGAAUGUUCCUACUAUCCACCUCUACUCCCAUCUACCAUAGAACGUACCCUACUGGCCAACCAUCCUCUAUAUAGCUCCAGCUAUCACCAGACAGACCUGGAUCAAAUACUUCUAAAUACUUGAGCUGAUUCUGUUUGCCUUAUUCAAUGGGACCAACAGAAUAGUCCCAAAAGUGCAAACCCACCAAACUAAAUCACGCGCACCUCAAAAUACUUGGAAAUACUUUUAAAAUUAUUUCCCAGUCUUUUCUCAAAUAUGAAGUAUUUAAAAGUAUUUUUAGACACAGUUAUGUACUUUUUGCCCAGAUCUUAUCUGGCUCUUAUCACGUUGUCCAGUGUUAUCACAGUCCGUCACAUUAAAGCCUGUUUACACCAAGCUGCCUCUUACUUCAACACAGUGCAUGGCUUUCUACUUCAUUAAUAUAGUCCCAACCAAAAUGAUUAUUAUGCCUUACUAGGUCGUAGCUAGGUCAUUAUUAUUAGUAGUAGUAGAUAUCUGUUCUGCUGAGGUCUGCUUGUUCCAUAUUAACCCCUUCAUGUAUAUCCUCUCUUCUCUAUAAGCCACUUGCUUUAGGCAGUGGAACAGUGAUGUGUGUAAACGUUGAGGCUCCCAGAUCUGCCUCUAAUGUAGUGAUAUUACUAUAGCCUGGUCUCAGAUCUGCCUCUAAUGUAGUGAUAUUACUAUAGCCUGGUCUCAGAUCUGCCUCUAAUGUAGUGAUAUUACUAUAGCCUGGUCCCAGAUCUGCCUCUAAUGUAGUGAUAUUACUAUAGCCUGGUCCCAGAUCUGCCUCUAAUGUAGUGAUAUUACUAUAGCCUGGUCUCAGAUCUGCCUCUAAUGUAAUGAUAUUACUAUAGCCUGGUCUCAGAUCUGCCUCUAAUGUAGUGAUAUUACUAUAGCCUGGUCUCAGAUCUGCCUCUAAUGUAGUGAUAUUACUAUAGCCUGGUCUCAGAUCUGCCUCUAAUGUAGUGAUAUUACUAUAGCCUGGUCUCAGAUCUGCCUCUAAUGUAGUGAUAUUACUAUAGCCUGGUCUCAGAUCUGCCUCUAAUGUAGUGAUAUUACUAUAGCCUGGUCUCAGGUCUGUUUUCGCCUAGUCCAUUGUCAAGCCAAACCAUGUUUUACAUGACAGUUCCAUAUGGAGUUGGGAAGAGAGCACAAACAGACUGGGAUCCAGGCUAAUAUUACUACCACCAGAAAUAGAACUAAAAUGACAUUCCUGGUGGCACUAAUGGUCACUACAUAUCCUGUAUACGGGUGGGAUGUUUACGUACAAAACCAAUGCCAGGGUUGGGGUGAAUUCCAUUUCAAUUCCAGUCAAUUCUGGAAGUUCGAAUUUCUCUUUUCAAUGAAAACAUUUUUUUGUGAAUUGUUUACUUUUUACGAAUUGAAAUGGAAUUUGACGCCGACCCUGGCGCGCGCAUCCGAGAGGCAGGAAACUGACGGGGUUGGCUUACAAUCGUAGGAUUAUAGGACAACGUGUAAACUAUAUUUAGUCUCUAAAUGUUUAUUGAAAAACCAUAAAUCAGUUUACAUCAUCGUUGUAACGUUGCCAGGUAACCAACCCAUCUAUAGUUCCACUGCUUCAUCACUGAUGUAGGACGGAGAGGUUCCUGCUAAGUCACGUUCCUAAUAUUUCAGCGUUAGCCUGGUUAAACCAGACUCGAGUGCUGCGCUCACCAUUUGAAACAACAGUGAAAUGUAGCCAAAUCAGUUGUGAUUCCAGGCUAAUUCAGUGUGUUCUGUUGAACUCCUACCGUAGCUGUAUCUGUGUGUGAUGGUGGUAUUGUAACCAUGGAAAUAUAGCGCUUGAGGCCCCGUGUGUGUGUGCGUGCGUGUGUAUAGAAGCAAAGGUAGGUAGCUGUUGAGUGUGUGAGUCCGUCUGACAGUACCAAUGGCGUUAUCUAACAGACGGUACUGUCAGCCUGUCAACACACAACUAGGGCACCAUAUUCCCUAUCUAGUGCCCUACUGUUGACCAGGGCCCAUAGGGAUCUGGUGAAAAGUAGUGCACUAUAUAGGAUACCAUUUCGGACUAGCAGUCUAUGGAAGUGUAGAGAAGUGAUUGGUUUUUUGUCCUCGUUUGAAAAUUGAUUUCAGGCCUUCUCAUAUACCUCCAUUGUUUUUUAGUUUUUUUAAUGAACUGUUGUUUUUUCGGUUCAUGAUUGUUGUUGAACUAUAAUGAAAUGCUGUCACUGUAACCGAUUGUAAUUCCAUUGGAAAACAUUGGAAAAGUCAAACGAUGUCAUUUCAAUGCAUUUGGAGGAUGAUGUGUGUGGGGGAGGAUGAUGGUGUAGUCGAUACGGACGGUUUUAUGUUUUGUACAGAUUGAUCAAUUGUAUAAUUGUGUUUUUUAGUUUAAUCUUAAGUUAUCAAUUCAUCUUAAUAAAACGCACCGGUCAUAAACAUUUCAACUCUCUCAGUUGUUAUUUACAUACAAAGGCA